GCCUUCGUAGCUCAAUGGUUAGAUCAUCCGACUCUUAAUCGGAAGGCUGUGGGUUCGAGUCCCACCGAGGGCU
This 73-nucleotide transfer RNA is filed under the name Kwoniella mangroviensis CBS 8507. RNAcentral's name for it is "tRNA-Lys (CTT) (tRNA-Lys-CTT-2-1, tRNA-Lys-CTT-2-2)". It matches the Rfam family "tRNA". Rfam says of the family: Transfer RNA (tRNA) molecules are approximately 80 nucleotides in length. Their secondary structure includes four short double-helical elements and three loops (D, anti-codon, and T loops). RNAcentral also lists the same sequence under 2 other names. The record is from RNAcentral. Lineage: Eukaryota; Fungi; Basidiomycota; Tremellomycetes; Tremellales; Cryptococcaceae.